RNAcentral lists this microRNA (22 nucleotides) under Drosophila mojavensis. RNAcentral's name for it is "Dmo-Novel-5-P1b_5p (mature (co-guide))". Lineage: Eukaryota; Metazoa; Arthropoda; Insecta; Diptera; Drosophilidae. The record is from RNAcentral.
UGCGAGCUAUAACCUAGUGGAG